UCAGCUCCCACCAUCGGCUUCUCGCAUGCGGCUGCCUCACCGUGCCCAGAGGGCAUCCCUCUUGGACUGCAGUGUCCACCAGAGACACAAACAGAGAAAACAUGAGUUCCUCCUCCACCGCCCUCCCCCAACCCAUCUCCCAAAUUCAGAUAGCAAAGGAAAGAAAACAUCAGCCAAACUUCACCUACACAGACAUCAACCUGGGAAACGGAAUGGCAGUCUUGGACUUCUUGCAGGAUUCCCAAAUCCUCACUUGUCUACUUGUUUUGGAGGAGAGCUAUCCUAAUUCAGUCAGCCAGUUCAUGCCUGAUUGGCAGUUUCAUAGGAUGACCUGCUUGUGUCUGUGUUCCUAUAUCUUCAGCUAUCUGCCAGUGACCUCUGCCUCA
This 386-nucleotide long non-coding RNA is filed under the name Homo sapiens (human). RNAcentral describes it as "HSALNT0136461". Lineage: Eukaryota; Metazoa; Chordata; Mammalia; Primates; Hominidae. The record is from RNAcentral.